RNAcentral lists this ribosomal RNA (328 nucleotides) under uncultured eukaryote. Its description in RNAcentral is "partial 18S ribosomal RNA". It matches the Rfam family "Eukaryotic small subunit ribosomal RNA", at positions 1470 to 1796 of the family's 1831-position model. The record is from RNAcentral.
CCCUUAGAUGUUCUGGGCUGCACGCGCGCUACACUGAUGCGCUCAACGAGUUUUAACCUUGCCUGGAAAGGUUGGGUAAUCUUUUUAAAACGCAUCGUGAUGGGGAUAGAUUAUUGCAAUUAUUAAUCUUCAACGAGGAAUUCCUAGUAAGCGCGAGUCAUCAGCUUGCAUUGAUUACGUCCCUGCCCUUUGUACACACCGCCCGUCGCACCUACUGAUUGGAUGACUCGGUGAAAAAUUGGGACUGUGAAGAACACUGCUUAAUUGCGGCGUUUUUUAUGGGAACUUUUUUAAACCUCGUUAUCUAGAAGAAGGUGAANUCGUAACA